This 273-nucleotide long non-coding RNA is filed under the name Rattus norvegicus (Norway rat). RNAcentral describes it as "long non-coding RNA NONRATT016281". The record is from RNAcentral. Lineage: Eukaryota; Metazoa; Chordata; Mammalia; Rodentia; Muridae.
AAUUCUCCAUGAAUGUACGUCACCAUGAUGAUGACCGACCAGAUCCCCCUGGAACUGCCACCCCUGCUCAAUGGGGAGGUGGCCAUGAUGCCCCACUUGGUGAACGGAGAAGCAGCUCAGCAGGUUGGUGAUUCUGGGGGUCUGUGUGGGAAACAGCCGACUGUGUGGUUUACUUGGGGAUGCAGAGGCCUUUGCUUUUUUAAUUCUGUUGUUCCUAGAGAAGUCUUUUUGUUAUUAUACAAUUACUUUAUUAUUUUUAAAAUACCUGAAAAA